RNAcentral lists this transfer RNA (71 nucleotides) under Stenocercus crassicaudatus. RNAcentral's name for it is "tRNA-Ile". The record is from RNAcentral. Lineage: Eukaryota; Metazoa; Chordata; Lepidosauria; Squamata; Tropiduridae.
GGAAGCGUGCCUGAGCUACAAGGAUUACUUUGAUAGAGUAAACCACAGAGGUCUAAACCCUCUCACUUCCU